GGAUGUGGCGCAGUCCGGCUAGCGCAUCUGGUUUGGGACCAGGAGGUCGAAGGUUCGAAUCCUUUCAUCC
RNAcentral lists this transfer RNA (70 nucleotides) under pig gut metagenome. It matches the Rfam family "tRNA". Rfam says of the family: Transfer RNA (tRNA) molecules are approximately 80 nucleotides in length. Their secondary structure includes four short double-helical elements and three loops (D, anti-codon, and T loops). The record is from RNAcentral.